GGCCUGGUGGAGGUCCCAUGCCAAAUUUCUUUGUACCAAUGGUUCAGCAGGGCCAGCAAGGGCAAAGAUCCGGUGGCAGGCGUGCUGGUGCCAUUCAGCAAACCCAGCAGCCUGUUCCUUUGAUGCAGCAGCAGAUGCUACCAAGAGGACGUGUCUACCGUUAUCCUCCUGGACGUGGACUGCCUGAUCUUCCCAUGCCUGGUGUUGCUGGAGGCAUGUUCUCUGUUCCAUAUGAGAUGGGUGGAAUGCCACCGCGGGAUGCAGUCCACCCUCAACCAGUUCCUGUGGGUGCUUUGGCUUCUGCUCUUGCAAAUGCAACUCCAGACCAGCAGAGAACGAUGCUGGGGGAAAAUCUUUAUCCACUUGUGGAACAGCUAGAGCCUGAUAAUGCGGCCAAGGUAACAGGAAUGCUAUUGGAAAUGGACCAAACUGAGGUUCUUCACUUGCUGGAGUCGCCUGAAGCUCUGAAAGCCAAGGUGGCGGAGGCGAUGGAGGUUUUAAGAAGUGUCGCUCAGCAGACUGGCAAUGCAGCUGAUCAAUUGGCUUCACUAUCUCUGACUGACAACCUUGAUUCCUAAAUCUGAAUGUUGGCAACCCCUUCUGUUUUUCAUGAGCCGCGAACCUUUUUACUUGGUGCUACUUUUUAUUGACACACUUUGAGAUGCGAAGUUCAACUAUUUUUGUUCGAACCGAGUGAUGAUUUCUA
Molecule: unclassified non-coding RNA, 706 nt
Filed under: Hevea brasiliensis (rubber tree)
Lineage: Eukaryota; Viridiplantae; Streptophyta; Magnoliopsida; Malpighiales; Euphorbiaceae
Source: RNAcentral